AAUUCAUUCAAGGGCAUGUAGGAAGUCCUGGGACGAGUUUUGGAGGGGACAGGCUUGAGGUUAUCUUUGGAUAAACCUCACCCCCACCCCCCCACCCCCACCAACAUGCUACGGACCAUAUCUUCAUUACUGUCUUUAAUGGUGUUUAACUUCGCUCCAGUUGAAUCAGAAGCUUUAGGAGGGCAAAGAGUGUGCCUUGUAUUCCUCACAUAGCAAGGGUACAAUAAAUGUUUGUCUACGUUUGAUUUGCCUCCUUUCAGAAAGAUAAAAGCCACACGUCAAGCAAGAUCAGCCAACUAUGGGAGCAGCCCUUCUCUUUCGUGACCUUGGGCGUUGAUCUCGGGAUGACCCCUUACUGGCUGCAGUAACAAAGUCCCAAAAAGUGUGUGGCUGGAAACAACAGAAAUGUGUUGAAGUCUGGAGAUUAGAAGUCUGAAAUCACAAAGUGAGUGGGGCCACCCCCCUCCCACCUCUAGAAGAGGAUCCUUCUUUACCUUUUCUGGAUUCUGGUGUCUGUCAGUGAUCUUUGGCAUCCCCCUAUAGACAUGUCACUCCCAGUACACGGCCUUCUUCUUUCUGUGUGUCUGCCUCUGGUAUCCAAACUCCCCAUUCUUAUAAGGACCCUGAUCCUAUUUGAUUUGUUAUUCCUCAUAAUUAAUUAGCCCUGUAAAGAUCCUAUUUCCAUUAAGGUCAUAUUCAGAGGUAUGGGGAGGGGGGUGGCAGUGGUGGUGGCUAGACAUUCAGCACAUCUUUUUGGGGGCAACAAAUUUCAACCCAUAGCACCGGACCUGAGUGAAGAAUUGCGGCAUUAUAUUGGCUGUACGAACACAGGUAGUGGCCACGGAAGCUGCCCCCAGGAAGUGGGUGCUGGGCAGAAGGGGAGGGUGGAAAGGAGGAAUUUUCCAGGCCCACUUUGGCUCACAGAACAUUUUCAGGGGAACAUGGAGAUGCUCAUGGGAGCUGAGGAGUGGCAGCUUGUUUAAAACCUUAUGGUCUCACCAUGCUUCACCCCUUCCAUAAUAAAGAAGGCUU
Canis lupus familiaris (dog) is the source of this 1032-nucleotide long non-coding RNA. RefSeq lists it as uncharacterized. The record is from RefSeq and is a predicted model, not a curated record. NCBI's taxonomy places the organism in Eukaryota, Metazoa, Chordata, Mammalia, Carnivora, Canidae. The transcript is spliced from 3 exons.